RNAcentral lists this ribosomal RNA (497 nucleotides) under uncultured bacterium. Its description in RNAcentral is "partial 16S ribosomal RNA". It matches the Rfam family "Bacterial small subunit ribosomal RNA", at positions 28 to 507 of the family's 1533-position model. The record is from RNAcentral.
GAUGAACGCUGGCGGCGUGCCUAAUACAUGCAAGUCGAGCGAACGGACGAGAAGCUUGCUUCUCUGAAGUUAGCGGCGGACGGGUGAGUAACACGUGGAUAACCUACCUAUAAGACUGGGAUAACUUCGGGAAACCGGAGCUAAUACCGGAUGAUAUUUUGAACCGCAUGGUUCAAAAGUGAAAGACGGUCUUGCUGUCACUUAUAGAUGGAUCCGCGCUGCAUUAGCUAGUUGGUAAGGUAACGGCUUACCAAGGCAACGAUGCAUAGCCGACCUGAGAGGGUGAUCGGCCACACUGGAACUGAGACACGGUCCAGACUCCUACGGGAGGCAGCAGUAGGGAAUCUUCCGCAAUGGGCGAAAGCCUGACGGAGCAACGCCGCGUGAGUGAUGAAGGUCUUCGGAUCGUAAAACUCUGUUAUUAGGGAAGAACAUAUGUGUAAGUAACUGUGCACAUCUUGACGGUACCUAAUCAGAAAGCCACGGCUAACUACGUG